UACGAAGGGGGCUAGCGUUGCUCGGAAUGACUGGGCGUAAAGGGCGCGUAGGCGGCUUGUAUAGUCGGAUGUGAAAUCCCCAGGCUUAACCUGGGAACUGCAUCCGAUACUGGAUGGCUUGAAUCCGGGAGAGGGAUGCAGAAUUCCAGGUGUAGCGGUGAAAUGCGUAGAUAUCUGGAGGAAUACCGGUGGCGAAGGCGGGUCUCUGGGCAACAACUGACGCUGAGGAGCGAAAGCGUGGGGAGCGAACAGG
RNAcentral lists this ribosomal RNA (253 nucleotides) under uncultured bacterium. RNAcentral's name for it is "partial 16S ribosomal RNA". It matches the Rfam family "Bacterial small subunit ribosomal RNA", at positions 524 to 776 of the family's 1533-position model. The record is from RNAcentral.